GAUGAACGCUGGCGGCGUGCCUAAUACAUGCAAGUCGAGCGAACAGAUAAGGAGCUUGCUCCUUUGACGUUAGCGGCGGACGGGUGAGUAACACGUGGAUAACCUACCUAUAAGACUGGAAUAACUCCGGGAAACCGGAGCUAAUGCCGGAUAACAUUUAGAACCGCAUGGUUCUAUAGUGAAAGAUGGUUUUGCUAUCACUUAUAGAUGGACCCGCGCCGCAUUAGCUAGUUGGUAAGGUAACGGCUUACCAAGGCAACGAUACGUAGCCGACCUGAGAGGGUGAUCGGCCACACUGGAACUGAGACACGGUCCAGACUCCUACGGGAGGCAGCAGUAGGGAAUCUUCCGCAAUGGGCGAAAGCCUGACGGAGCAACGCCGCGUGAGUGAUGAAGGUCUUCGGAUCGUAAAACUCUGUUAUUAGGGAAGAACAAAUGUGUAAGUAACUAUGCACGUCUUGACGGUACCUAAUCAGAAAGCCACGGCUAACUACGUG
Molecule: ribosomal RNA, 497 nt
Filed under: uncultured bacterium
Lineage: Bacteria
Description: partial 16S ribosomal RNA
Rfam family: Bacterial small subunit ribosomal RNA
Source: RNAcentral